UAGUCUCCCUCUGCCUCAUCUUCAAGAUAGGAGUAAUAAAACCACCUACCUCAUUGGGUUACUAUAAAGAGUUAAAAUUAUCACAUAUACACACUUAAAAAACAGUGUCUGGUACAUAGAAGCUCUAAGUGUUGUUAUUUGUCUUCAGUCGAGGGAGAUUAACUGAGCACCAGACACCGAAACCACACAGGCGACAGACGGCUGCCCUGGAGGAACUACAGGCCGGGUGGAUAAGCCGGUGCUCAGAAGACCCAGUGGGCAGAGGACUGUGACAGAAACAAACCUGGGAGCAUGGCAGUGACCCACAGGACAGAGGCAGCCAGCCGGUUUACCAUGGUUCCCCUGAGCCUACAGAUCUCUGAUGGCUCCCAGUGGUGGCUGCAGCUUGAAAGUCACUCGGAGUAGAAGGGAGGAGCCACCACUUCUGAGCGUGGGCGAGGCCAGGAUCCUCCCUCCAGCAAUUUUACCUGUUUCCACCACGGGACAAGGAAGGGCUGUUAUGAGAGCUUUUCUUUAGCACUCCAUGAAGCUGCUGCAUUUGCUGAGGUCUGCACAAUGAGGCGUGUUGCCUCACUCUCCCAGGAAGUUUUAAGAGUCUCUGGCUCUGGAAAGGAAGACAUCCAUAGGCCUGCAGAAGCUUCCACCAAGCUCUUUCCCAAGGAACAGAAUUCAAACCCUGAUGCGCCAAGUCUAGAGCUGACCAGCCCUGGAGGCCAGGAAUGAUAUUAAGAUUUGGCAACAAUGUUCCUGGGUUUUGCCAAGGCAGGCCUAAAGCCCCCUGGGCCCAGGCCUCAUUGCCUGCCAAAGUUCACCUGUGGUCCUGGAGUUCCAUGCUAUGGCAGAGCCUCAGUUUUGUCAUCUAAAGGAUGUUUUGUCAUGAGGGACAUGAGAUGCUGUUACGUGAUAGUGCCAAGUAAGUCAAAGAUGCUUCAGAAACACAGGAUGAAUCAGAAUGUAAGUGCCCACAGGCUAGUUACUGGGCCCUCACCCAGUAGCGAGGACAGAUGGAAGUGGCCUCCCGAGGUCCUAUAGUGGGCUUCACGCAGCACAGGUGAGCCAAGGCGGAGGCUGUGUGCAGGCAGCACUAGGACCCAGGGGCCGAGUCUGGAGCCGGCUCAGCUGGGUAAGUUCACAGCCAGAACACAAUGUUCUCAGUGUACCCACAGGAAACCCUGAAGAGGAGAACUGCACAUGGCCUUCUGCUGGGUGUGUUCUGGUUCCAGCCUUUUAUUCUUUUUCCUAACCUCAGUCCCCACUUUCACAUCCUGUAACCUGCAGAGCUGCCUGCCCCACCCCGCUGGGCUGGUCCCAGGCCCUGGGAGAGCAAUCAAUGCAGGAAGCCCAAAGGCUGGCUGGCCUUCACAAUUUUCAAAUAAGACCGUUCGCCUCUAACCUUGGUUUCCUGAAUCGGCCCUUUGUGUUGGAAACUUUUCACAGUGCGGAAGGCAGACACCAGGGACAAAGCUGAGCUUCUAGCUGAGGCGAGGGUCUUGGCUCAGACGCAGGGAAACAGCUGAUGCCUCUGAACCACCUCCUCCCUUCCUCCCUGAAGGCCAGGCCCCACCUGGGACGGGGCGAGUGCCUCCACGGCUGCUGCAGAAAUCAGAAGGAGCUGGGAGCUGCCUGAGGAACCAGGGCCAAGUUUGGAGCAGAACAUCCUAUGAUGUGGUUCCUAGUUUUUAUUUCCACGAAUGCCAUAAUAUGUUGUCCCACCAAGCUAUUUUUACUGAAUAAAAAAAAUUUUUUUAAAGCAAACCUCUGCAAAACCAACAGCCCUCUGUUACAGGGAAGGACAAGGUGAACUUUUCACUUCCUUCCCCACAGCCUAUCAACUCAUCUGCGGUUUGGUGUCACCCACACUUCCGUACUAUAUUCAAUCUCA
This is a long non-coding RNA of Camelus dromedarius (Arabian camel), 1882 nucleotides long. RefSeq lists it as uncharacterized. The transcript is spliced from 4 exons. The record is from RefSeq and is a predicted model, not a curated record. Lineage: Eukaryota; Metazoa; Chordata; Mammalia; Artiodactyla; Camelidae.